UACGUAGGGGGCAAGCGUUGUCCGGAAUCAUUGGGCGUAAAGCGCGCGUAGGCGGCUUUUCAAGUCGAGUGUGAAAGCCCCGGGCUUAACCCGGGAAUGGCGCUCGAUACUGUUGAGCUAGAGUGUGGAAGGGGCUACUGGAAUUCCGUGUGUAGCGGUGAAAUGCGUAGAUAUACGGAGGAACACCAGCGGCGAAGGCGGGUAGCUGGGCCGACACUGACGCUGAUGCGCGAAAGCGUGGGGAGCAAACAGG
This 253-nucleotide ribosomal RNA is filed under the name uncultured bacterium. RNAcentral's name for it is "partial 16S ribosomal RNA". It matches the Rfam family "Bacterial small subunit ribosomal RNA", at positions 524 to 776 of the family's 1533-position model. The record is from RNAcentral.